Molecule: ribosomal RNA, 492 nt
Filed under: uncultured bacterium
Lineage: Bacteria
Description: partial 16S ribosomal RNA
Rfam family: Bacterial small subunit ribosomal RNA
Source: RNAcentral
UGGGGAAUAUUGGACAAUGGGGGGAACCCUGAUCCAGCCAUGCCGCGUGUGUGAAGAAGGCCUUAUGGUUGUAAAGCACUUUAAGCGAGGAGGAGGCUACUGAGACUAAUACUCUUGGAUAGUGGACGUUACUCGCAGAAUAAGCACCGGCUAACUCUGUGCCAGCAGCCGCGGUAAUACAGAGGGUGCGAGCGUUAAUCGGAUUUACUGGGCGUAAAGCGCGCGUAGGCGACUUUUAAAGUCGGAUGUGAAAUCCCCGAGCUUAACCUGGGAAUUGCAUUCGAUACUGGGAAGCUAGAGUAUGGGAGAGGAUGGUAGAAUUCCAGGUGUAGCGGUGAAAUGCGUAGAGAUCUGGAGGAAUACCGAUGGCGAAGGCAGCCAUCUGGCCUAAUACUGACGCUGAGGUACGAAAGCAUGGGGAGCAAACAGGAUUAGAUACCCUGGUAGUCCAUGCCGUAAACGAUGUCUACUAGCCGUUGGGGCCCUUGAGGC